GAUGAACGCUGGCGGCGUGCCUAACACAUGCAAGUCGAGCGAUUCUCUUCGGAGAAGAGCGGCGGACGGGUGAGUAACGCGUGGGUAACUUGCCCUGUACACACGGAUAACAUACCGAAAGGUAUGCUAAUACGAGAUAAUAUACUUUUAUCGCAUGGUAGAAGUAUCAAAGCUCCGGCGGUACAGGAUGGACCCGCGUCUGAUUAGCUAGUUGGUAAGGUAACGGCUUACCAAGGCGACGAUCAGUAGCCGACCUGAGAGGGUGAUCGGCCACAUUGGAACUGAGACACGGUCCAAACUCCUACGGGAGGCAGCAGUGGGGAAUAUUGCACAAUGGGCGAAAGCCUGAUGCAGCAACGCCGCGUGAGCGAUG
This 373-nucleotide ribosomal RNA is filed under the name uncultured bacterium. RNAcentral describes it as "bacterial SSU rRNA". It matches the Rfam family "Bacterial small subunit ribosomal RNA", at positions 28 to 410 of the family's 1533-position model. The record is from RNAcentral.